This 491-nucleotide ribosomal RNA is filed under the name uncultured bacterium. RNAcentral describes it as "partial 16S ribosomal RNA". It matches the Rfam family "Bacterial small subunit ribosomal RNA", at positions 29 to 506 of the family's 1533-position model. The record is from RNAcentral.
AGUGAACGCUGGCGGUAGGCCUAACACAUGCAAGUCGAACGGCAGCACAGUAAGAGCUUGCUCUUACGGGUGGCGAGUGGCGGACGGGUGAGGAAUACAUCGGAAUCUACUUUUUCGUGGGGGAUAACGUAGGGAAACUUACGCUAAUACCGCAUAUGACCUACGGGUGAAAGCAGGGGAUCUUCGGACCUUGCGCGAUUGAAUGAGCCGAUGUCGGAUUAGCUAGUUGGCGGGGUAAAGGCCCACCAAGGCGACGAUCCGUAGCUGGUCUGAGAGGAUGAUCAGCCACACUGGAACUGAGACACGGUCCAGACUCCUACGGGAGGCAGCAGUGGGGAAUAUUGGACAAUGGGCGCAAGCCUGAUCCAGCCAUACCGCGUGGGUGAAGAAGGCCUUCGGGUUGUAAAGCCCUUUUGUUAGGAAAGAAAAGCAGCAGGUUAAUACCCCGCUGUUCUGACGGUACCCAAAGAAUAAGCACCGGCUAACUUCGU